Molecule: ribosomal RNA, 261 nt
Filed under: uncultured prokaryote
Description: partial 16S ribosomal RNA
Rfam family: Bacterial small subunit ribosomal RNA
Source: RNAcentral
UACGGGGGAUGCGAGCGUUAUCCGGAUUUAUUGGGUUUAAAGGGUGCGCAGGCGGGAGAUUAAGUCGGCGGUGAAAUUUUGCAGCUCAACUGUAAAAGUGCCAUCGAUACUGGUUUUCUUGAGUGUGGAUGAAGUAGGCGGAAUUUGUGGUGUAGCGGUGAAAUGCAUAGAUAUCACGAGGAACUCCGAUUGCGCAGGCAGCUUACUAAACUACUACUGACGCUCAGGCACGAAGGCGUGGGGAUCAAACAGGAUUAGAUA